UACGUAGGGUGCAAGCGUUAAUCGGAAUUACUGGGCGUAAAGCGUGAGCAGGCGGUUCCGCAAGUCAGAUGUGAAAUCCCCGGGCUCAACCUGGGAACUGCAUUUGAAACUACGGGGCUAGAGUGUGUCAGAGGGGGGUGGAAUUCCACGUGUAGCAGUGAAAUGCGUAGAGAUGUGGAGGAACACCAAUGGCGAAGGCAGCUCGCUGGGACGUGACUGACGCUGAGACGCGAAAGCGUGGGGAGCAAACAGG
Molecule: ribosomal RNA, 253 nt
Filed under: uncultured bacterium
Lineage: Bacteria
Description: partial 16S ribosomal RNA
Rfam family: Bacterial small subunit ribosomal RNA
Source: RNAcentral